AGAGGAAGUAAAAGUCGUAACAAGGUUUCCGUAGGUGAACCUGCGGAAGGAUCAUUAUUGAAUAAACUUGAACAGGCUGUUGCUGGCCUCCCUAGGAGGGUGAUGUGCACGCUUGUCAUCUUUAUUUUUCCAACUGUGCACAUAUUGUAGAUCUGGAAAGUGUUUGAACUUUAUUGUUCGCGUUGGGACUGCUGGAGAAUCAGCUUUGCCUUGCAUUUUCUGGGUCUAUGUCUUUUGUUACACAAACCUCAAUCUGUUUAGAAUGUUGAAUCAGGUCCUUUUUGUACCUAUAAAGUUAUAUACAACUUUCAGCAACGGAUCUCUUGGCUCUCGCAUCGAUGAAGAACGCAGCGAAAUGCGAUAAGUAAUGUGAAUUGCAGAAUUCAGUGAAUCAUCGAAUCUUUGAACGCAUCUUGCGCUCCCUGGUAUUCCUAGGAGCAUGCCUGUUUGAGUGUCAUUUAAGUUCUCAACCACAUCAAGGUGUGGCUUGGAUGUGGGGGUUGUUGCAGGCUUUUCUUUUUGAAAGACGGUCUGCUCCCCUGAAAUGCAUUAGUAGUAUCUGAGCAGCUACAGGUGUGAUAAUUUAUCUAUGCCUUUUGUAUUCUGCAUGAACAGAUUGUGCUGCUUCUAACGACCAUAUUUUGACAAACUGACCUCAAAUCAG
RNAcentral lists this ribosomal RNA (664 nucleotides) under Inocybe obscurobadia. RNAcentral describes it as "eukaryotic LSU rRNA". The stretch from base 304 to 457 matches the Rfam family "5.8S ribosomal RNA". The record is from RNAcentral. Lineage: Eukaryota; Fungi; Basidiomycota; Agaricomycetes; Agaricales; Inocybaceae.